This 269-nucleotide ribosomal RNA is filed under the name uncultured Eubacteriales bacterium. Its description in RNAcentral is "uncultured Clostridiales bacterium partial 16S ribosomal RNA". It matches the Rfam family "Bacterial small subunit ribosomal RNA", at positions 73 to 339 of the family's 1533-position model. Lineage: Bacteria; Bacillati; Bacillota; Clostridia; Eubacteriales. The record is from RNAcentral.
AUUCGUCCAAUUGAAGCAGAGGACAGUGGCGGACGGGUGAGUAACGCGUGAGGAACCUGCCUUUCAGAGGGGGACAACAGUUGGAAACGACUGCUAAUACCGCAUGACACAUUGGGGUCGCAUGGCCCUGAUGUCAAAGAUUUAUCGCUGAAAGAUGGCCUCGCGUCUGAUUAGCUAGUUGGUGAGGUAACGGCCCACCAAGGCGACGAUCAGUAGGGGUUCUGAGAGGAUGAACGGCCACAUUGGAACUGAGACACGGUCCAAACUCC